This 450-nucleotide ribosomal RNA is filed under the name uncultured bacterium. Its description in RNAcentral is "partial 16S ribosomal RNA". It matches the Rfam family "Bacterial small subunit ribosomal RNA", at positions 355 to 797 of the family's 1533-position model. The record is from RNAcentral.
UAGGGAAUCUUCGGCAAUGGGGGCAACCCUGACCGAGCAACGCCGCGUGAGUGAAGAAGGUUUUCGGAUCGUAAAGCUCUGUUGUAAGUCAAGAACGGGUGUGAGAGUGGAAAGUUCACACUGUGACGGUAGCUUACCAGAAAGGGACGGCUAACUACGUGCCAGCAGCCGCGGUAAUACGUAGGUCCCGAGCGUUGUCCGGAUUUAUUGGGCGUAAAGCGAGCGCAGGCGGUUUGAUAAGUCUGAAGUUAAAGGCUGUGGCUCAACCAUAGUUCGCUUUGGAAACUGUCAAACUUGAGUGCAGAAGGGGAGAGUGGAAUUCCAUGUGUAGCGGUGAAAUGCGUAGAUAUAUGGAGGAACACCGGUGGCGAAAGCGGCUCUCUGGUCUGUAACUGACGCUGAGGCUCGAAAGCGUGGGGAGCGAACAGGAUUAGAUACCCUGGUAGUCCA